GACGAACGCUGGCGGCGUGCUUAACACAUGCAAGUCGAACGGAAAGGCCCUGCUUGCAGGGUACUCGAGUGGCGAACGGGUGAGUAACACGUGGGUGAUCUGCCCUGCACUUCGGGAUAAGCCUGGGAAACUGGGUCUAAUACCGGAUAGGAGCCAUUUUUAGUGUGAUGGUUGGAAAGUUUUUUCGGUGUAGGAUGAGCUCGCGGCCUAUCAGCUUGUUGGUGGGGUAAUGGCCUACCAAGGCGGCGACGGGUAGCCGGCCUGAGAGGGUGGACGGCCACAUUGGGACUGAGAUACGGCCCAGACUCCUACGGGAGACAGCAGUGGGGAAUAUUGCACAAUGGGCGCAAGCCUGAUGCAGCGACGCCGCGUGGGGGAUGACGGCCUUCGGGUUGUAAACUCCUUUCGCUAGGGACGAAGCUUUUUGUGACGGUACCUAGAUAAGAAGCACCGGCUAACUACGUG
RNAcentral lists this ribosomal RNA (465 nucleotides) under uncultured bacterium. Its description in RNAcentral is "partial 16S ribosomal RNA". It matches the Rfam family "Bacterial small subunit ribosomal RNA", at positions 28 to 507 of the family's 1533-position model. The record is from RNAcentral.